This 243-nucleotide unclassified non-coding RNA is filed under the name Hevea brasiliensis (rubber tree). The record is from RNAcentral. Lineage: Eukaryota; Viridiplantae; Streptophyta; Magnoliopsida; Malpighiales; Euphorbiaceae.
CUCUCUCUCUCUCUCUCUCAUUUUGUGGAGUAUUAUUUUAAAACUGAGCAAAUGAUCAAAACAUUAAAGAAUGCACAGAAGGGAAUAAAACAAGAAAGACAGACUACUCAAAUGUAUGGAACUAAUUAAACAGGAUAAACAAGAAUGAGCCCAUAUGAUUUGGAGCCAUAAAUAUGGUGACAGAGCCUGUUUGGCAUUACUGUUGGAACUGCUGUUGAUAAAUCACUUUUUUAAAUAUAGUAG